Molecule: long non-coding RNA, 4813 nt
Organism: Manis pentadactyla (Chinese pangolin)
Lineage: Eukaryota; Metazoa; Chordata; Mammalia; Pholidota; Manidae
Exons: 5
Source: RefSeq, a predicted model, not a curated record
UCGCCUGGGGCUGGAGGAGCUGGACACCCACGACAUCCAUGACACGGGGCUUUGCCUGCAUGUCCAUCACCUCAGCUGGGAGGCUGGGAAUGGCUGCAGACUGGAUGCACCUCUCUGCUCGUGCUUUCAUCUCCUUUUCCACAUGGCCCCUCAUCCUCCAGGAGGCUAGCCCAGGCUUCAUGGCCUCCCAGGACAGCAGGACAGUGAAAGUGGAUGUUGCAAGGCUCUUCAUGCCCAGGACUAGAAUUUUUGUCACAUUCUACUGGGCCAAGCAAGUCAUAAGACCAGCCCAGACGUAAUGUGGAAAGGGACCACACAGAAGUGAAUUUAGGAGUGUGAUUCAUUAGGAACUAUUUUGCAGCAGUCUUUCAAGAUCACUAAUAUCUAUUUUUCUAUAGUCCAGUUCACAGAGGACAUUUGCUUGCACUGUCUUAUUCGAUCCUUACAACUAAGUUGAGAUAUGGUCAAGGAUAUAACAAAAAUUAACCAACAAAAAGCCUGAAUUUAUAACAUUUGCCACUUUCCAUGGUGUGACUACUCCUACUGUGGCUCAUCUGAAGUGACCAACAUGAGAUCACUGCAUGCCAAGGUGAGAGGAGAUGCAGUCCAUAGCUGGCCCCGGCACACCACCGUACGCGGUGGGGAUGAUCUCCAGUCAGAUACUGAAGAGAUACGGGACUUUCUCAUGAUCACGCACAGCCAACAGUGGAAGAUCUGGAACUCAACCCAGAUGCAAAUUGUAUGCUUUGGUUAUGACACCACCCUGCCCCACAGCAAUUUUCUUCAGACAUCUGAAGGGCUUCUGUGGAGAACAGCUGCAGUCUAGGGUGCCCCAGAAGACAACAUAAGAGUCAAUGCGGAAUCACUUGAUGUCCUUUUGAGACCAAAGAAGGCAAGAGAAGGGAAGAGAAGAGGAGAGAAUAAAGAGAAAGAGAAGAUCCAACAAGAAUGUAGCUGUUGCCUUCCUUUCAGAAGGGAUUUCAGUUGACUACCCUGGAGAGAGGUGAACCGGAGGGGUGGGGGUCCGCCCCGCCCAGCAGUCUCAGGGAUCUGGGCAGCCCCGCGCCCAUGCUGACGUCCGGGAGGUGCAUGGGCUGGGGCUGUCAGGCCGGCUUCUCUCAGGAGGACUCCCAGACAAACUCCACUUUACAAGACCAGCUCUAGCCAGAAGCACGCCCAGAAGUGCUGGAGAACAGAAACCGCAGCUGUGUGGAUUGUAAGCCAGGAUUACAGUUGGUGUGAUUCACUCACCAAGAGGCCCAGCUAUUAAUCUCCCCUCAGAGACCAUGGCUGCCUCUCAGGAAGCAUGAGAGGGUGCAACCUGAAAGGAUAAGGCAUCCAUUCAUUCUUAGGAAAACGCAAGAACUAUCCUAGGCUUUGGGAAGGCUGCAUGCCUAGGACCAGAAGUUUGGCAUGCCUGGAAAGCCUGUGACUUGCUUAGUUUGCAUUCCUCUGCUGUGCUGAUGUCCAGGCCCUCAGUUCCCCAGAGGGAAUGAACAAGGACACUUUUUGAAGACUUUCUGCAAAGACCUCACUGGAAACCUUGCUUUGCCAGGGGCCAGGUUUGCCAGACAAUCGUCAGGCAACAGUUGGCCAUCCUUGAGGAAGAUGUGAACAAGAAGCCAUUCGAAAGCAUAAUCUUCUAGAAACUAAAUUUCAAAACAAGCAGGAAACCACAGCUCAGGCAUGAGCUGUGUUCAGCAACCUGGGUUCACACAAAGACAGACAAGAAUAGGCUUUGCACAAUCCUAUCACCUCCCAUUUAUGAUUUCUAAGCAGUUUAUUCAUCCUGAUUGCAUUGGGGAAAGAUUAUCCUGGUGGAAUGCUGAGCACCAAGGACAAGGCACAGGAUGAUUUGAUUGAGAUCAAGUCAGCAUUGGGUUGCUAUUUUUGACUCCCAAUUACAUUCUCUGCCCUUUUAUCUGUGCAAAUGUAAGCUGGAACACACCUGAGACAGCACAGAAAAUGCAGAGCUUCAAUCUUUUCCUUUGUCUCUGAAGGAGCCAUGCAUUCAGAGGUGUGCCGGGGCUGGGGGCUUGGGGCAGAGUCUGGAAACAUAUCAAAAUAAUAGUGAUUAUUUCUGAUAAUAGGAUUACAGGUGGCUUUUUAAAAAAUUGACUCCUUUCUGCAGUUUAUGUUUUUCUACAAUAAGUAUGUAUUUCUUGAAUUCAAAAAUGUUUUUCUAAGUAGCCUGCAGGAAUUGGGUAGUUCUCCUCUGAAGUUGAAGGCUGGCCUUGCUCUCUCUGGGUAUAAGUGCAUUGGGUGCAAAGGAAACCCAGGUCCCUUGGAUUCUGUACUGGUCAGGAGAUAAAACUCCACCAUUCAUAAGGUCAAAUAUCUAUCUGAUGUUCUCCACUGGGAGCAGCUCUCAAGUUACUCAGGUAGCUUCCAGUCUCAGUUCCACCAACAAACUGCCCUGGCUUGGAAGAAAGAAGCGUUUUUUCAUCACAGUGUUCUCCAGGCCUUCCUUGGAGAGUUGAUGGGCCUCAGAACUCUAUCCUUUUUGAGUCCUAAUUUGGAUGAUUUUGGAAAACUGUGGCCACAGAUCUCCCUCCUCCAAGACUAGCUGAGUGAUACAGAUGGUGCCCGUGCUGCAGACAGCAGGGCAGGAAAUUACACCCUAACUAUAGGUCUUCAUUCAGAAACCCAACAGCCUCACCAGAAAAUAAACUUGAGAGCCCUGAAGCAUCAGAACACUGACCUACAAGAUCAAAGAGCAAUAUUGAAAUCUCUCCAAGUGAACUUUGAACAAAAAACAAUCCUGCAGGGUUUUGUUUUGGCCUUCCAACCAUGUGAUCAGGCCAGACUUAAGCCUGAUAGUUCUUCCAAAUUACUCCCUGCCCUUUUCAAUAGACCCUUGCACAGAGAGAAGCAGCCACUAAGGUUUCCUGUUGAGGAGAAUUCUUCGUGUUCUGUGAGGGGACCAUGUAUUUAACAGAACUCAUGUGUAAGUUUUGCAUGUAGUAGGACAAAGCUACUUUAGUCGAACUUCAAGUGUUUUUGGCAAAGCACAUGUCCCCAAGAUGAAAACACAUAAGGAAGGAGCUUAUAUUUGACAUGAGCUCCUGAUGUAUUACAUCAUGAAAAGGGUUUGGGGAACAAAUGGAGGUCAAAGCCUGAGGACUUGAGAGAACCUACCAGAAAACCUUAGUGGUUCCUUUCCAUUCCUCUCCACAGCUCAGAUCCUGCCUGCCCUUUAAGGCCCAUCCAAAUAAACUAUCCAAAAAAGCCUCCAGUCAAGUCAGCACACACCAGUGUUUUUCCUAUUUCCAAACCCCUCUCCAGAGGAAAGGUGGUAUCAUGGGAUAUAUCACCUGGACUCUGUGGGCUCUGAGUGGACACUUUCUGGACCAAUGCAGCCAGAUUUACAUUAGUGCCCAGCUUAGGACUGCUCAGGGUUCCCACCCACUCAGUGGCUCAGCCCCUUGAAGAUUCCUCUUUCCCCAGGUAUUGGGAAUGCAGUGAAGAGCAGUGGCUAAGCACAAGGCCAUUGGAGCUGGAGUUCUGUGAGAUCCCGAGCAAGUUCUCAGCUUUCUCUGAGUCUUAUGUUUCCUCUGUAUCUAGUUCCUCAUUUGUAAACCGGUCUUAAUACUUGUGGUGAGAAUUAAAUGAGAGAAUUCAUGUAGUGCACUUCACACCAAAAAAACUUAGUGGUUUUGUUUUUCAAAGUGGACUUCAGAUUCUUUGACCCAUUUCCCAUCAAGAGGUCGUGCUCUGUGUCACCUCUCCUUGAAUCUGACCUCUGAAACUGCCUGACCAGUAGAACAGAGGUAAGAGAUGCCACACCAGUUUCUGGCUCCAAGCUUUCAGACACUGUCAGCUUCCAGGUCCUGCCUUGCUCUGCAACCUAGACACACUGCAAGGGAACCUGGUCACACAGAGAGAUGUGUUUGGGCAGAAAGCCCCAGCUAGGUAUAAGCCAACAGUCAGCAUAAAGGGCUUUAAGAUGACUCCAGCUGCUACCAGAUGGGGGCUGCCAUGUGACUGUGACCACGGAAAUCAGAGAUCCGAAGCUCUGAGCAAGAACCACCUCACUGAUCCUUGUCAACCCCAGAGCCACGAGCAAUAAUAAUAAAAAAAUGAUUGUUGUUGCUGUAAGGCACAGAGUUUUCCAGGGACCUAUUACUUUGCCACAGACACGUGAGGCCUUUCCUCGCCGCUGUAAGGAGGCCUCGUGGUGGCCCGGGAGGUGGGGGGGUCCUGGCCCUCCCGCACCGUUCCUCCCUUGGCAGGUGGACACCAAGUCAUGAUUUUUCACCCCCAGCUGUUACCCACCCCAACAUGCUUUAGGGAUCAGAAUCCAGGUGUAGACUAGAUUCAAAUUUUCUCCCAGAACAAAUUUUGUAGCCCCCAUGAAAAUAAAGCACUGCAUUCAAAGGAUUGUUUGGGAGGGAGGCUAUCGCCCGCCUCUGAGACAAGCAGCCUCUUCACCGGCAAGCUGCCUUGCUCUGUUCACCGUAUUUCCCACGGAUCUUAGAUCGUUUUUUCCCCAGAAAGAAUGUAAGAUUUUUGAGGGCAGGGACCCUGUUCUAAUUUUCUUUUUUUAGUAAAUUGUAAUUUUUUGAGAAAACAGUGAUCAUAGCUAAUUAGGCAAGUUGAGUCUGUGAAAAGCCUAGGACCAUGCUGGUAAUCAAAAAGGUCAAAGAGUGAAAAUGUGCCAGUGACAUCUUACUAUGCAGAUGGACAGUGACUGCACUGGGGUGUGGGGGGACUUGAUAAUAAGGGUGAAUGUAGUAACCGCAAUGUUGCUCAUGUGAAACAUUCAUAAGAUUGUGUAUCAAUGACACCUUAAUAAAAAAAAAAGAAAAAUUCA